Molecule: non-coding RNA, 357 nt
Organism: Cinara cedri
Lineage: Eukaryota; Metazoa; Arthropoda; Insecta; Hemiptera; Aphididae
Source: the annotation of a GenBank genome assembly
AAUUACAACAAUAAAAACAACUAUCGCGUGCAUUGACGGCAGUCGGUAAAAAUAAUGAACUAAUUUUAUAGGCGUCUGCAGCAUGCAACGUGCAUCAUUGUCCUGUCGUAGCUAUCGAAUUAUUUAGAAAAACGUAAUAGAUUAGCCAAGGGACCGUUUUAGACACUUUUAAACACAUAUUAUGUACCCUCGAAUUAAAAUUGGAUCACAAAAACGGCGUUGUUUUCAGUUAGUGCGGUUAAAAGAAUUCAAACGGCCGGAGUUUAGUAAAGUAUAUGAUGCCGCAUUUUGCUUUUCCUGUUGUGCAAGUAUAUUCCGAAUAUGAACUUUACACAGAGAACACUCAAAUAAUAAAUU